GACAUCCUUCCUUCAUACUCGAGUCUUUGCCCAGAGUGUGACCCUGUCAGUAAGCAUCUCAGAUGCCAUGUGCCACAGCACUGGGAAGAGAAUGGGGUUGAAUGUUAACAAGAAAGUGGAAGGAAGCUCUGUCUGAAGAGAAACAGGAGGCCGGCACCAGCUGCACACCUGUGAUCCCAGCCCUCGGGGAGCUGGGGAGACAAGCAGAUGUGACAUUCAAGGUCAGCUUGGACUACCUGAGAUAAUUUAGCUCAUAAACAAGACCACGCAAACAAAAGAAAGCCAUGUGGAGGCAGGAGGCUCCCCUAAGAAGCAGGAUUUAUGCACAUCUCCUGCUCUGCUUGGCCUGGGAGCUUUUCCCACUUUGCCUACAGGCAUCCAGAUAAUGAGGUUGUGUUCGUUCUGUUAAGAGACACAUCAGCUCUCUAUCAGACUGGCCUUCCCGGUGCUCUGCUGAGCACAGAAGCACUUAUUGUUAUCUCUCACCAAUCUUGUAGCCCUUGUAGACUUCCAUUCUUUUCCAACUUCAAUAAAAGUUUCUCCUUAAAUAACCUUGUCUGAUUAAGUUCUCCUCCCCAACACCCCGCAUAAGUCCCCAAUCUGUCUUACAGCCCUUCAGUCCUAAGACUCCAAUAAAGUUCUUUGUUUUU
This 650-nucleotide long non-coding RNA is filed under the name Mus caroli (Ryukyu mouse). RNAcentral's name for it is "lncRNA (MGP_CAROLIEiJ_G0005643.1)". Lineage: Eukaryota; Metazoa; Chordata; Mammalia; Rodentia; Muridae. The record is from RNAcentral.